RNAcentral lists this ribosomal RNA (465 nucleotides) under uncultured bacterium. Its description in RNAcentral is "partial 16S ribosomal RNA". It matches the Rfam family "Bacterial small subunit ribosomal RNA", at positions 338 to 795 of the family's 1533-position model. The record is from RNAcentral.
CCUACGGGUGGCAGCAGUGGGGAAUAUUGCGCAAUGGGCGAAAGCCUGACGCAGCGACGCCGCGUGAGGGAUGAAGGUCUUAGGAUCGUAAAACUCUGUCAGCAGGGAAGAAAGGUCGCUGUGCUAAUCAGGAGUGAAUUGACGGUACCUGCAAAGGAAGCACCGGCUAACUCCGUGCCAGCAGCCGAGGUAAUACGGAGGGUGCGAGCGUGGAACGGAAUUACUGGGAGGAAAGCGCUCGUAGGCGGGAUGUCUAGGCAAGCGUUAACUCCCCGCGAUCAACGUGGGAACUGCCGUUGAAACUGGCAAACUGGAGUGGGCGAGAGGAUAGUGGAAUUCCAGGUGUAGGAGUGAAAUGCGUAGAUAUCGGGAGGAACAUCAGUGGCGAAGGCGACUAUCUGGCACAUAACUGACGCUGAGGAGCGAAAGCGUGGGUAGCAAACAGGAUUAGAUACCCGGGUAGUC